ACCUGGCUGGCUCAAUCAGUAGAGCAUGUGACUCUUGAUCUCAGGGUCAUGUGUUCCAGCCCCAUGUUGGGUG
Molecule: transfer RNA, 73 nt
Filed under: Mustela putorius furo (domestic ferret)
Lineage: Eukaryota; Metazoa; Chordata; Mammalia; Carnivora; Mustelidae
Rfam family: tRNA
About the family: Transfer RNA (tRNA) molecules are approximately 80 nucleotides in length.
Source: Rfam by way of RNAcentral